GCUGCGUGUGGUGGUGUGUGCCUGUAGUCCCAGCUACUCCAGAGGCUGAGGUGGGAGGAUCACUUGAGCCCAGGAGUUCUGGGCUGUAGUGCACCCAGAACUAUGCCAAUCGGGUGUCUGCACUAAGUUUGGCAUCAAUAUGGUGACCUCCUGGGGUCAGGGGACCACCAGGUUGCCUAAGGAGGGGUGAACCGGCACAGGUUGGAAAUGGAGCAGGCCAAAACUCCCAUGCUGAUCAGUAGUGGGAUCACGCCUGUGAGUAGCCACUGCACUCCAGCCUGGGCAACAUAGCGAGACCCCAUCUUU
RNAcentral lists this signal recognition particle RNA (306 nucleotides) under Aotus nancymaae (Ma's night monkey). RNAcentral's name for it is "Metazoan signal recognition particle RNA (ENSANAG00000006825.1)". It matches the Rfam family "Metazoan signal recognition particle RNA". From Rfam's summary of the family: The signal recognition particle (SRP) is a universally conserved ribonucleoprotein. It is involved in the co-translational targeting of proteins to membranes. Lineage: Eukaryota; Metazoa; Chordata; Mammalia; Primates; Aotidae. The record is from RNAcentral.